AUGUUUUGUAGUUCUCCNNNNNNNNNNNNNNNNNNNNNNNNNNNNCCACCACCAUCACCACCAAACAGCCUAGCCCUUCGCACCGUUGAAGCCGUGGCUGCAAGGCAAAACCUAUCUGUCCUGAUGAGCUUGGGGUGGAAUAAAGCCUUUGAAAAUCAGAAAUGUUUACUGAGGGAAACUCUGUUACUGAAGCCCAGUGGAAUGGUGACAUCAGGAGAGACCCUGCUGUCUCUGAUCUUCAAGUGCUUUGCAAGCAUGAUAUCAGCAGCAACAGACUGCACUGAUGCCUUCCUUGACAGCUCAGCCUUGCACAAAAAAACAGUGCCAUUUGUGGCUGCAAAUUCCAGCUUCCCUGCAUGGAGUCCUCAAGGGCUCAGCACCUCCCAUGAGCUUGGCCGCAUACAUGGAAAUGAGUUGGUCAGGAGAGGGGAGGCAAAGGCUGCUGAAGUCCUUCUGCAGAUAACACCCUUCAGUGCACUGAUGUGCACAGAGUCACCCCAGAAUGCAUACUGGCAGAAGACUCCUGGGCCAAGAAGACCGCAUGAGCAAAGCGGAAUAAGAGACAAUGAGAGAUGUGUGUCUCAGCAAGACUUCCACAGAGAAGCCUCAACAUGUGUGCAAGUGUGGUUUUGGACAACCAUAAAUAGAAACCAUACAGAUCUCCAUCUCUAG
Molecule: long non-coding RNA, 672 nt
Filed under: Apteryx rowi (Okarito brown kiwi)
Lineage: Eukaryota; Metazoa; Chordata; Aves; Apterygiformes; Apterygidae
Description: lncRNA (ENSARWG00000005713.1)
Source: RNAcentral